UGGAUUCUUGAUCCCAUUACACAAUCUUGGAACCACGCGGUACGAGGAAAGAGCAGGGGACAAGCUGACAUGUCUCUUAUAUUGUUUGGACCCAUUUUUGCUUCACCUGGUCAAUUCAAAGAGAAGACGACAGUCAGAUCAACCAGUUACCACAAAACAAAUGGGAAAAGGAUUCUUUCGGAUUCUCGUUCUGCAAGCCGCCAUCAGGCUUUGGAAGGACGUGUAUCGAGA
RNAcentral lists this long non-coding RNA (231 nucleotides) under Eucalyptus grandis. RNAcentral describes it as "long non-coding RNA (EGRA_LNC007188)". Lineage: Eukaryota; Viridiplantae; Streptophyta; Magnoliopsida; Myrtales; Myrtaceae. The record is from RNAcentral.